CUUUGUCAAAAUGACACAAAAAUUGACACACACAUGUAUCUCAAUAAGAUCUACAAAAAAGUCAGUGCGGGCGUAUCUGUCAAAUGUACGGUUAAAGGGUUAUUUCGCAUUUUUUGCCGAUCCGCACACAUUGGAAUUUCGCUAACUCCUCCGAAGGCUUUCGUUCCACCGGCACCACAUUUGCUCAGGCCAAUCUACACCCCAUGGCCAUUAAAAGUUAUUCAAAUCAUGACGCUGCACCCCACGGUUUAGGUUCUAGGGGGCGCCAAAGAUAACCCUAAAUCCACAUAUUUAAAAGUCUUAUAACUUUUUAUUUUUGCCCUCACUGGCCUCCAAGUUUUCUAGGAUGAUGCAAUGUCCAGCCAUCAACACAUUUGUGAAGGAAUUUUUACUCCCCAAAAGAGCGCCCCCCAUGGCAGGAGAAAAAAGUCCAUUUUUUCUUGUCCCCUAAGGUGAAAAUACACAUUGUUGAGUGUAACACCUGUACGCUUUGGCAAAAUGACACAAAAAUUGACACACACAUGUAUCUCAAUAAGAUCUACGAAAAAGUCAAUGCGCGCGUAUCUGUCAAAUGUACGGUUAAAGGGUUAUUCCGCAUUUUUUGCCGAUCAGCACACAUUGGAAUUUCGCUAACUCCUCCGAAGGCUUUCAUUCCACCGGCACCACAUUUGCUCAGGCCAAUCUACACCCCAUGGCCAUUAAAAGUUAUUCAAAUCAUGACGCUGCAUCCCACGGUUUAGGUUCUAGGGGGCGCCAAAGAUAACCCUAAAAUCCACAUAUUUAAAAGUCUUAUAACUUUUUAUUUUUGUCCUCACUGGCCUCCAAGUUUUCUAGGAUGAUGCAAUGUCCAGCCAUCAACACAUUUGUGAAGGAAUUUUUACUCCCCAAAAGAGCGCCCCCCCAUGGCAGGAAAAAAAAGCCAAUUUUUUCUUGUCCCCUAAGGUGGAAAUUCACACUAUUGACUGUCACGCCUGUACGCUUUAUCAUAUUGACACAAAAAUUGACACACAUAUGUAUCUCAAUAAGAUCUACAAAAGAGUCGAUUUGCGCGUAUCUGUCAAAUGUACGGUUAAAGGGCUAUUUUGCAUUUUUUGCCGAUUCGCACACAUUGGAAUGUGGCUAACUCCUCCUAAGGCUUUCGUCCCACUGACACCAAAUUUGCUCAGGCCAAUCUACACCCCAUGGCCAUUCAAAGUUGUAAAAAUCAUGACGCUGCACCCCACGGUUUACGUUCUAGGGGGCGCCAAAGAUAACCCAAAAAUCCACAUUCUUCAAAGAAUCCACAUCCCCCCCCCCCCCCCCCCCCCAUAUGGCAGGAGAAAAAGUUAAGUUUUUCCUGCCCAUCGCUCAAUGGCUCAAUCGCAUCGCUCUCCAGGCAACACCGUAAGGAGGAGCAACCUGCCAUUUCGAUAUAUCAUAGCUGUGUUUGUGCCCUCACUCAUGGUCCAGACUUUUUUCAAAUAGGACAUGAAGUUUGUCUGCAGCGAGUGUUUUGGUAGAAACUGCGCCUCCCAUUCAUUAUAAUAGGAAAUGACCACAGACAAGUGCGCACACCAUCUUUGGAUCUUGAGUGUGACGCGAUCGGGAGGGGGAGGCGGUCGCACUGGGGGCGGCGCGACACGGCUCGGGCCCGACAGUGCCCCAACGGGGUCCUAGUUUGUUAUUAUUAUUUUUCCUCCCCUUUGAACUGGAAAAUGGCCCACUUCCCACUGGCGAAAACUCAUGAAAUUUGGCAGGACGACCGGGCCUGGUGAAAAAUUUGAUAUUCCGAAGUCGCCCAAACAAGAAAAUGCAAAAUGGCUCCAUAGCGCCCCCUAAGGUGAAAAUUCAGACUAUUCACUGUCACGCCUGUACGCUUUGUCAAAAUGACACAAAAAUUGACACACACAUGUAUCUCAGUAAGAUCUACAAAAAAGUCAGUGCGGGCGUAUCUGUCAAAUGUACGGUUAAAGGGUUAUUUCGCAUUUUUUGCCGAUCCGCACACAUUGGAAUUUCGCUAACUCCUCCGAAGGCUUUCGUUCCACCGGCACCACAUUUGCUCAGGCCAAUCUACACCCCAUGGCCAUUAAAAGUUAUUCAAAUCAUGACGCUGCACCCCACGGUUUAGGUUCUAGGGGGCGCCAAAAAUAACCCUAAAAUCCACAUAUUUAAAAGUCUUAUAACUUUUUAUUUUUGCCCUCACUGGCCUCCAAGUUUUCUAGGAUGAUGCAAUGUCCAGCCAUCAACACAUUUGUGAAGGAAUUUUUACUCCCCAAAAGAGCGCCCCCCCAUGGCAGGAGAAAAAAGUCAAUUUUUUCUUGUCCCCUAAGGUGAAAAUACACAUUGUUGAGUGUAACAUCUGUACGCUUUGGCAAAAUGACACAAAAAUUGACACACACAUGUAUCUCAAUAAGAUCUACGAAAAAGUCAAUGCGCGCGUAUCUGUCAAAUGUACGGUUAAAGGGUUAUUCUGCAUUUUUUGCCGAUCCGCACACAUUGGAAUUUCGCUAACUCCUCCGAAGGCUUUCGUUCCACCGGCACCACAUUUGCUCAGGCCAAUCUACACCCCAUGGCCAUUAAAAGUUAUUCAAAUCAUGACGCUGCAUCCCACGGUUUUGGUUCUAGGGGGCGCCAAAGAUAACCCUAAAAUCCACAUAUUUAAAAGUCUUAUAACUUUUUAUUUUUGUCCUCACUGGCCUCCAAGUUUUCUAGGAUGAUGCAAUGUCCAGCCAUCAACACAUUUGUGAAGGAAUUUUUACUCCCCAAAAGAGCGCCCCCCCAUGGCAGGAGAAAAAAGUCAAUUUUUUCUUGUCCCCUAAGGUGGAAAUUCACACUAUUGACUGUCACGCCUGUACGCUUUAUCAUAUUGACACAAAAAUUGACACAUCUAUGUAUCUCAAUAAGAUCUACAAAAAAGUCAAUUCGCGCGUAUCUGUCAAAUGUACGGUUUAAGGGCUAUUUUGCAUUUUUUGCCGAUUCGCACACAUUGGAAUGUGGCUAACUCCUCCUAAGGCUUUCGUCCCUCUGACACCAAAUUUGGUCAGGCCAAUCUACACUCCAUGGCCAUUCAAAGUUGUAAAAAUCAUGACGCUGCACCCCACGGUUUACGUUCUAGGGGGCGCCAAAAAUGACCCAAAAAUCCACAUUCUUAAAAGAAUCCACAUCCCCCCCCCUAUGGCAGGAGAAAAAGUCAAGUUUUUCCUGCCCAUCGCUCAAUGGCUCAAUCGCAUCGCUCUCCAGGCAACACCGUAAGGAGGAGCAACCUGGCAUUUCGAUAUAUCAUAGCUGUGUUUGUGCCCUCACUCAUGGUCCAGACUUUUUUCAAAUAGGACAUGAAGUUUGUCUGCAGCGAGUGUUUUGGUAGAAACUGCGCCUCCCAUUCAUUAUAAUGGGAAAUGACCACAGACAAGUGCGCACACCAUCUUUGGUUCUUGAGUGUGACUCGAUCGGGACGGGGAGGCGGUCGCACUGGGGGCGGCGCGACGCGGCUCGGGCCCGACAGUGCCCCACCGGGGCCCUAGUUAGGGCCCGAGCGUAGCUGCUAAGCAGCUGCGAGAGCCCUCUUGUUCCUGUAGUUUCCUUCUUUUGUUAUUAUUAUUAGGGCCCGAGCGUAGCUGCUAAGCAGCUGCGAGAGCCCUCUUGUUCCUGUAGUUUCCUUCUUUUGUUAUUAUUAUUAUUUUUCCUCCCCUUUGAACUGGAAAAUGGCCCACUUCCCACUGGCGAAAACUCAUGAAAUUUGGCAGGACGACCGGGCCUGGUGAAAAAUUUGAUAUUCUGAAGUCGCCCAAACAAGAAAAUGCAAAAUGGCUCCAUAGCGCCCCCUAAGGUGAAAAUUCACACUAUUCACUGUCACGCCGGUACGCUUUGUCAAAAUGACACAAAAAUUGACACACACAUGUAUCUCAAUAAGAUCUACAAAAAAGUCAGUGCGGGCGUAUCUGUCAAAUGUACGGUUAAAGGGUUAUUGCGCAUUUUUUGCCGAUCCGCACACAUUGGAAUUUCGCUAACUCCUCCGAAGGCUUUCGUUCCACCGGCACCACAUUUGCUCAGGCCAAUCUACACCCCAUGGCCAUUAAAAGUUAUUCAAAUCAUGAUGCUGCACCCCACGGUUUAGGUUCUAGGGGGCGCCAAAGAUAACCCUAAAAUCCACAUAUUUCAAAGUCUUAUAACUUUUUAUUUUUGCCCUCACUGGCCUCCAAGUUUUCUAGGAUGAUGCAAUGUCCAGCCAUCAACACAUUUGUGAAGGAAUUUUUACUCCCCAAAAGAGCGCCCCCCCAUGGCAGGAGAAAAAAGUCCAUUUUUUCUUGUCCCAUAAGGUGAAAAUUCACACUAUUGACUGUCACGCCUGUACGCUUUGUCAAAAUUACACAAAAAUUGACACACACAUGUAUCUCAAUAAGAUCUACAAAAAAGUCAGUGCUGGCGUAUCUGUCAAAUGUACGGUUAAAGGGUUAUUGCGCAUUUUUUGCCGAUCCGCACACAUUGGAAUUUCGCUAACUCCUCCGAAGGCUUUCGUUCCACCGGCACCACAUUUGCUCAGGCCAAUCUACACCCCAUGGCCAUUAAAAGUUAUUCAAAUCAUGACGCUGCACCCCACGGUUUAGGUUCUAGGGGGCGCCAAAGAUAACCCUAAAAUCCACAUAUUUAAAAGUCUUAUAACUUUUUAUUUUUGUCCUCUCUGGCCUCCAAGUUUUCUAGGAUGAUGCAAUGUCCAGCCAUCAACACAUUUGUGAAGGAAUUUUUACUCCCCAAACGAGCGCCCCCCCAUGGCAGGAGAAAAAAGUCCAUUUUUUCUUGUCCCAUAAGGUGAAAAUACACAUUGUUGACUGUCAUACCUGUAUGCUUUGUCAUAUUGACACAAAAUUUGACACACACAUGUAUCUCAAUAAGAUCUACGAAAAAGUCAAUGCACGCGUAUCUGUAAAAUGUACGGUUAAAGGGCUAUUUUGCAUUUUUUGCCGAUUAGCACACAUUGGAAUGUGGCUAACUCCUCCUAAGGCUUUCGUCCCACUGACACCAAAUUUGCUCAGGCCAAUCUACACCCCAUGGCCAUUCAAAGUUUUAAAAAUCAUGACGCUGCACCCCACGGUUUACGUUCUAGGGGGCGCCAAAGAUGACCCGAAUAUCCACAUUCUUAAAAGAAUCCACAUCCCUACCCCCCCCCCCCCCCCCAUCCCCCAUCCCCCA
This is a non-coding RNA of Xyrichtys novacula (pearly razorfish), 5166 nucleotides long. Lineage: Eukaryota; Metazoa; Chordata; Actinopteri; Labriformes; Labridae. The record is from the annotation of a GenBank genome assembly.